UCGUGAACGUUACCUACAUCGUUGCUUCGGCGGGUGGCGGGCUUCGGCCCUGCCCUCGGCCCCUCUCGGGGGCCCGCCGGAGGUACACCAAACUCUUGAAUUUACAUGGCCUCUCUGAGUCUUCUGUACUGAAUAAGUCAAAACUUUCAACAACGGAUCUCUUGGUUCUGGCAUCGAUGAAGAACGCAGCGAAAUGCGAUAAGUAAUGUGAAUUGCAGAAUUCAGUGAAUCAUCGAAUCUUUGAACGCACAUUGCGCCCGCCAGUAUUCUGGCGGGCAUGCCUGUCCGAGCGUCAUUUCAACCAUCAAGCCCCCGGCUUGUGUUGGGGACCUGCGGCACACCCGCAGGCCCUGAAAACCAGUGGCGGGCUCGCUGUCCACACCGAGCGUAGUAGCAUAUCUUUGUCUCGCUCAGGGCGUGCGGCGGGUUCCGGCCGUGAAACCCACCUUCUCGAAGGUACCCAAAGGUUGACCUCGGAUCAGGUAGGAAGACCCGCUGAACUUAAGCAUAUCAAU
Molecule: ribosomal RNA, 515 nt
Filed under: Dichotomopilus funicola
Lineage: Eukaryota; Fungi; Ascomycota; Sordariomycetes; Sordariales; Chaetomiaceae
Description: eukaryotic LSU rRNA
Rfam family: 5.8S ribosomal RNA (bases 142-295)
Source: RNAcentral